This 466-nucleotide ribosomal RNA is filed under the name uncultured bacterium. RNAcentral's name for it is "partial 16S ribosomal RNA". It matches the Rfam family "Bacterial small subunit ribosomal RNA", at positions 28 to 507 of the family's 1533-position model. The record is from RNAcentral.
GAUGAACGCUGGCGGCGUGCUUAACACAUGCAAGUCGAACGAUGAAGCUCAGCUUGCUGGGUGGAUUAGUGGCGAACGGGUGAGUAACACGUGAGUAACCUGUCCUUAACUCUGGGAUAAGCCUGGGAAACUAGGUCUAAUACCGGAUAGGAGCGCCUACCGCAUGGUGGGUGUUGGAAAGAUUUAUCGGUUUUGGAUGGACUCGCGGCCUAUCAGCUUGUUGGUGGGGUAUUGGCUCACCAAGGCGACGACGGGUAGCCGGCCUGAGAGGGUGACCGGCCACACUGGGACUGAGACACGGCCCAGACUCCUACGGGAGGCAGCAGUGGGGAAUAUUGCACAAUGGGCGAAAGCCUGAUGCAGCGACGCCGCGUGAGGGAUGACGGCCUUCGGGUUGUAAACCUCUUUCAGUAGGGAAGAAGCGAAAGUGACGGUACCUGCAGAAGAAGCACCGGCUAACUACGUG